GCCGAAGUGGCGGAACUGGCAGACGCGGAACUGGCAGACGCACAGGACUUAAAAUCCUGCGGUGCUAACACACCGUACCGGUUCGAUUCCGGUCUUCGGCACCA
RNAcentral lists this transfer RNA (104 nucleotides) under Clostridium perfringens. Its description in RNAcentral is "tRNA-Leu". It matches the Rfam family "tRNA". Rfam says of the family: Transfer RNA (tRNA) molecules are approximately 80 nucleotides in length. Their secondary structure includes four short double-helical elements and three loops (D, anti-codon, and T loops). The record is from RNAcentral. Lineage: Bacteria; Bacillati; Bacillota; Clostridia; Eubacteriales; Clostridiaceae.